Populus nigra (black poplar) is the source of this 3693-nucleotide RNA transcript. It is a transcript of the gene named 26S proteasome regulatory subunit RPN13-like, with no coding region annotated. Lineage: Eukaryota; Viridiplantae; Streptophyta; Magnoliopsida; Malpighiales; Salicaceae. The transcript is spliced from 3 exons. The record is from RefSeq and is a predicted model, not a curated record.
ACACUAAGCACAACCAUCAUAAUAAAAACACUCCAAUUCCCCAAGCUCUCUUUCUCUAGAAAUCAAUCAAAUAAUUCCAUUAAUUUUCCAACUUCGGAUUUUCUUUUAUUUUUUUCUGUUAUUGAUUAUGAUUUGGGUUUUUGAUUUUUCCUUCUUUUUUGUCCGUCUUUGCAGUGUUGAAAGAAAUGAAGCUUUAUAAAGGAAGUAUGCAAAAAAUGGGUUCUUCAUCAGUUGAAGAUAUUUCAGCAAUGCAGGUAAAUAAAAUCACCUUUAAAAUUGUGGGGUUUGCUUAAAAUCUCCGUUUCAUAUUAAUUAGAGCCUGUAAUUGUUUUUUUGGAUGUACAAGUAUGCUUUUCUUGAUGGGGUUAUGUUAUGGUGUUGUGGUUGUUUUGUUGGUAGUAAAUUGUGUUGGAGUUUCUUGCUGGUAAAAUGAUUUUCUAUGGAAAAAGGGUUGUUGCUGAUUCUCGAAAAGGACUUGUUCGCAUUGGAAGGGUAAACUGGUGUCUUUUGGUUUAUUUGUGUUAUAUAGAGUUUGUGCCUGUGUAAAGAUUUUUAGUUACUUUUGUUGUUUUCGUUUAUCUUAAGUACUAGAUAGUGUGUUUCUAGCAUCUUGUUUCCUGUUUGAAGUGGAAAUUUUUGAAUUGUUCCAGGGUGAUGAGGGUUUGCUUCAUUUCCAGUGGCUUGAUAGAAAUUUGAAUGUUGUGGAAGAUGUAUCCUAUUUAUUAUUAUGUUUUUGAGCCUGAGAUUUUGUUUCUCUCUUCCAACAUUGGUUUUUAUUUCUUUUUCUGUUUUUUGUUUUGUUAAAAUUCUUUUUGGUGAGAACUUGAUAGCUUUUUCUUGACGUCUUGAUUGAUAGGAUCGAAUUUUUUUUUUUAAGAGGCUGUUUUUGAGAAGGUACACUUUUUUUUCUUAGUUUUUCUUAGAUGGGAGAUCUUUGACUCUAAUAAUUGAUUGUAAUAUCAUAGAUUUCAUAAUUCUUUGGGUUAUUUAGGUUAAUCAAGCUUUGGGAAGAGUUUACAUCUUGAAAUUCAAUACAGAUGAUCAAAAGUUUUUCAUUUGGAUGCAGGUCAGGUUCAUUUUUUGUGUUUUUCACUCUCUUAUGUGUAACAUUGACUCAGCUGUUAGUUGCAUGAUUUUGAAAAAUUAUGUAACAUGUUUGCAGGAGCCAAAAUCUAAAGAUGAUUCACAAUUAUGUAACUCUGUCAACUAUUAUAUUAAUUGUACAUUUGGUAAAUACUUGUGUUUUUAGUCCUUUGUUAGUGUAACACCCUAAAAAAUUAUCAUUUUAUCCUUAAUGAGUCUUUUUGCUUUCAUUUAAUGGUUCUUAUUCUUUGAUAGUAUUACUGAACUUCGUUCAUCCUAAAAUUUUAACCAGAUUUUAUUUAAUAUAUUUUAAGGUUCCUUAUAAAAUUUCAGCUCAAUCUGAUGGUCGGAUUUAAAAUUACGUCCAAUAACGUAAAAGUAGUUAAAUUGUGAUUUUUCAUCAAAUUUCUGAAUUUCUCUAAAAAUUAUGAAAUUUUAACCCAAGCUAAGGAAUCAUAUUAGAAAGCUCCAUAAAAAUUUUCAGAAUUUUCUAAUAACCCGAUCGAGAGUUAUAAAUUUUUUUCUUUUUGUUUUACAAGAAACUAGUUAAUUUAUAAUUUUUCACCCGUUACUAUGCUACUCGUCAUUAUUUUGUUCCUAAUUAUCUUGACUUAUAUUUAAAUACAAAGUCUAAUCUUCUGCCCCUUCCUCCCCCGAUCUUUUAAAUGCAAAUAAUUUGGUGUAAUUGAUAAAUCACUUUUGCUAAUUUCACAUCAGAAAGUUGUAUAAUUGCUUUAUGGUCAUCUCUCUCAUAGAGGGUUUUUUUUUUGUUAUCUUGCAUCUGCAUUUAUCUCCUCCCAUCUCCAUAAUUUCAUAAAGAAAACCUCUAUUCACAUAAAGAUCAUAUUAGACUAAUUGGAUUUCCUGUUUCUACUUUCUGUUUAUUUAUUUAUUUAUUUUAGUUACACACUCCAUAUAUGUGAAUUGAUCUUCCUAAAAUUUUACUAACCAGUUUUACACCUUCAAACUAAUGACCUGGCUUAUAACUUCAGCACUCAUUCAAGAGUGAAGUUUUUCCAUCAGCAACGUUGCUGCUUUAUCUUGUUGUCUGGCAGAGUUCCUUGAUGAAAGAAGAGCCUGAUGCUUCUACUCCUUUCCAGGUUUUUGAAGACAUGCUUGAAGAUAAUAUCUCAUCAAUGUAUAUUUAUUAUAACAAAGAAGCAUACUCAAAGAUGAUACUUCAACUCUAAAAGUUGAUAUAGCAAGUAAGAGUAAGGAUAUAGAGCUAACUAAUUUUUUGUUCUUUGAGACUUAGAGUCAGUGGAGCAGAAUAAGCCUCCCUUCUCUCAUUCUGGUCAAUAAUCUUGGAGAUCCUAUGUUCCUGCCUUGAUCAAGACUCCUAUCUUAGUUAUUCAAGAAAUAUCAAGAAAUUUUUCAAAAUCAUUUCUUGACAGAAACAUCUCACCCACCUUAGCCCUUGUCAAAUCCUUCAUCCCCUUAUGCCCUGCUGUAAGAAAUCACAGGACCACCGACAGUUAAAAGGACGAAUCCACUCUUAGGAAUCGUUAAAUCCUAUAAAUGAUUGUUCUGAUAUAUUAUAGAAAUUUUUUGAAAUGUAAGAAUCAAUUAACUCUAUGUGGUGAAACAAAAUAUCUCUCAUUCCCCCCUCGAAUAAAGUCUUCUUUUUGGUUUUGAAAGGAAUGAUCUUAUGUUGGCUUGAACAGUGCGCUAAUCCUUUGAAUCCGGUACCAACGGGUAUCAUACCACCUAGAACGAAGUUUUCUUUCAGGUGUUUCAGCCAAUCGAUACGACUGCGGAGAGCAGCUUUUGCUAAAACACGAGCAGUUUCUUAAAAACUCGCUUCGGAUAUGAAACUUUGAGUGCUCAGAGAUGCUCUUGUUAUUCCCAGCACAGACUUGCCCUCGGGGUAAAUUCUAAAACUUGGGGCAUCUUUUAUAUGGAAAUUUAGAAUCAUAACUUGGUGUUUGUCUGUGUAUAUACAUAUUUAAUUCUUAUGAUUCUUUGUAAAAUAACUUCUAAAAGGUUAAGGAACACUUUUAUUACCUAAAAGAAAUGGCCCAGUAUAUAUUACAUGGCCAUUUUCUUUUAUUCUAAUGUGAUUGAUUUUUGCUCAUCACUCAGGACUGGAAACUUAGUUGUCCCAGACCUUGGUGCAGAUGUAAUGAAUGAUGUAACCUCUUCAUCAGGACCAAUGAAAUUGGAAGGCUUGUAAUAAAUCCUGAGUAAUAUUGGUGCUGGAGGAAUGUUCUGCUCAAAUAUUGCAAUUGACCAUAUCCUUGUUUGUUGCACUUAGGUUGGCCCGCGUGAUGUGAUGAUAUAUGUUGCAGGUAGUUCGGGUGAUCCAGAUGAAGGGGAUAUACUGAAGCUUCAUUUGAUAAUGCCAUUGAUUGAGACAUUGCCGCUUGAAGAAGGAUUAACAUCUCACUUACCAGAGGGUCACUGCACUCUAGAGGAUAUUUUAGACUUGUUGCAGAGUCCUCCUUUCCGUCAGUAAAUGGAUUUUUUUACUUAUGUAAGAAAUGCGAGGCUGAUUCUUCUUGUUCUGUUUCUUGUCCUUUUGAUGAUAGCCAAUUUUACAAGGCUUAACUCUUCUUUUUGUUUGAAGGUUCUCCGAACUGGAUAUAUAGAUUUGUCUCAAUUUAGGAUCAA